CCAGACUCCUACGGGAGGCAGCAGUGGGGAAUAUUGGGCAAUGGGCGCAAGCCUGACCCAGCAACGCCGCGUGAAGGAAGAAGGCUUUCGGGUUGUAAACUUCUUUUCUGAGGGACGAAGAAAGUGACGGUACCUCAGGAAUAAGCCACGGCUAACUACGUGCCAGCAGCCGCGGUAAUACGUAGGUGGCAAGCGUUAUCCGGAUUUAUUGGGUGUAAAGGGCGUGUAGGCGGGAAUGCAAGUCAGAUGUGAAAACUAUGGGCUCAGCCCAUAGCCUGCAUUUGAAACUGUAUUUCUUGAGUGCUGGAGAGGCAAUCGGAAUUCCGUGUGUAGCGGUGAAAUGCGUAGAUAUCAGGAGGAACACCGGUGGCGAAGGCGGCCUGCUGGACUGC
This 392-nucleotide ribosomal RNA is filed under the name uncultured bacterium. RNAcentral describes it as "partial 16S ribosomal RNA". It matches the Rfam family "Bacterial small subunit ribosomal RNA", at positions 331 to 737 of the family's 1533-position model. The record is from RNAcentral.